This 957-nucleotide ribosomal RNA is filed under the name uncultured Bacillota bacterium. RNAcentral's name for it is "bacterial SSU rRNA". It matches the Rfam family "Bacterial small subunit ribosomal RNA", at positions 1 to 917 of the family's 1533-position model. Lineage: Bacteria; Bacillati; Bacillota. The record is from RNAcentral.
UGGAUCCAGACUUUGAUCAUGGCUCAGGACGAACGCUGGCGGCGUGCCUAAUACAUGCAAGUCGAGCGAGCUUGCCUAGAUGAUUUUAGUGCUUGCACUAAAUGAAACUAGAUACAAGCGAGCGGCGGACGGGUGAGUAACACGUGGGUAACCUGCCCAAGAGACUGGGAUAACACCUGGAAACAGAUGCUAAUACCGGAUAACAACACUAGACGCAUGUCUAGAGUUUGAAAGAUGGUUCUGCUAUCACUCUUGGAUGGACCUGCGGUGCAUUAGCUAGUUGGUAAGGUAACGGCUUACCAAGGCAAUGAUGCAUAGCCGGGUUGAGAGACUGAUCGGCCACAUUGGGACUGAGACACGGCCCAAACUCCUACGGGAGGCAGCAGUAGGGAAUCUUCCACAAUGGACGAAAGUCUGAUGGGGCAACGCCGCGUGAGUGAAGAAGGGUUUCGGCUCGUAAAGCUCUGUUGGUAGUGAAGAAAGAUAGAGGUAGUAACUGGCCUUUAUUUGACGGUAAUUACUUAGAAAGUCACGGCUAACUACGUGCCAGCAGCCGCGGUAAUACGUAGGUGGCAAGCGUUGUCCGGAUUUAUUGGGCGUAAAGCGAGUGCAGGUGGUUCAAUAAGUCUGACGUGAAAGCCUUCGGCUCAACCGGAGAAUUGCAUCAGAAACUGUUGAACUUGAGUGCAGAAGAGGAGAGUGGAACUCCAUGUGUAGCGGUGGAGUGCGUAGAUAUAUGGAAGAACACCAGUGGCGAAGGCGGCUCUCUGGUCUGCAACUGACGCUGAGGCUCGAAAGCAUGGGUAGCGAACAGGAUUAGAUACCCUGGUAGUCCAUGCCGUAAACGAUGAGUGCUAAGUGUUGGGAGGUUUCCGCCUCUCAGUGCUGCAGCUAACGCAUUAAGCACUCCGCCUGGGGAGUACGACCGCAAGGUUGCAACUCAAAUGAAUUGACGGA